RNAcentral lists this long non-coding RNA (773 nucleotides) under Drosophila guanche. Lineage: Eukaryota; Metazoa; Arthropoda; Insecta; Diptera; Drosophilidae. The record is from RNAcentral.
AUUUAUGUACGUGCAUGUGGUGCUGCAUUUUGUUAUGCUGCUUGUCUCUCUGUCUGUCUGGCUGCCACUUUUACGCACUUUUGAUAAAUUGUCCUUCCGCCACAUGCCCUGCCGCUCUGUUUGGUCAAGGAUUAGCCGCGUCGACACUAAUUAAGAGCAAGAGCCACAAACAAUUCAAUCCCCCCACCCAGUGACUGUGUUGAAAAUUUUCCAUCAAAAUCUACUUGGCGCCAGCGAAACAUUGCAGCAGGGAGUAGGGGCCAAACCAAUGCAUCAAAGUCUGCAGCCUUAAUUUAUUUCAAAGUUCUGGUAACUGCAUACAUAAUGAACCAGGCAGGCGCAUACCGCAAAUUCCCCGAGAUGGAGACGAGAGACCAGAGAGCAGAGCAAAGCAGAGCCAACUGAACCGCUUGCAAUGCGCGUGCCAGCCAGCCAGCCAGCCAGCUCUCGCCCCCCUUUUGGGUCGCAAUUAAUCAUCGGGUGGAGAGCGCCUUCAAGUGAUUGCCACUGCUGCAUUUCUGGCGGUGACACACGACCAGCAGACAGACGCAUGCAACUACAAUUCAGGCGGCCAGCAGCCUCUUCUUUUUAGGAGUGAUCCUUUGCCACGAUCGUUGGAGAUCGGCAACCCAAAGUGCACCCACAAAUGACACCAUCUUUUAGCAUCGAUCACAUGACCUGACUCGCUUUCUGUUGAUACACUUUCGCCACGCACUGUCACGACACGAUCGGCGCUUAACUGUUGUUAUUAAAAAUAUCCAUCGAUUGCGUAG